This 403-nucleotide ribosomal RNA is filed under the name uncultured bacterium. RNAcentral describes it as "partial 16S ribosomal RNA". It matches the Rfam family "Bacterial small subunit ribosomal RNA", at positions 28 to 526 of the family's 1533-position model. The record is from RNAcentral.
GACGAACGCUGGCGGCGUGCCUAAUACAUGCAAGUCGAACGCAGUGGGGACGGGUGAGUAACACGUGGGUAACCUCCCGUCAGAGGGGAUAACUCUUGGAUACAGAUGCUAAUCCGAUACUCAUGGAUGGACCCGCGUUGCAUUCGCUAGUUGGUGAGGUAAAGGCUUACCAAGGCCACGAUGCAUAGCCGACCUGAGAGAGUGAUCGGCCACACUGGGACUGAGACACGGCCCAAACUCCUACGGGAGGCAGCAGUAGGGAAUCUUCGGCAAUGGACGAAAGUCUGAUGGAGCAACGCCGCGUGAGUGAAGAAGGUUUUCGGAUCGUAAAACUCUGUUGUUGGAGAAGCGGUAACUAACCAGAAAGCCACGGCUAACUACGUGCCAGCCGCCGCGGUAAUUC